This 66-nucleotide transfer RNA is filed under the name Smittia aterrima. Its description in RNAcentral is "tRNA-Tyr". It matches the Rfam family "tRNA". From Rfam's summary of the family: Transfer RNA (tRNA) molecules are approximately 80 nucleotides in length. Their secondary structure includes four short double-helical elements and three loops (D, anti-codon, and T loops). The record is from RNAcentral. RNAcentral also lists the same sequence under 1 other name. Lineage: Eukaryota; Metazoa; Arthropoda; Insecta; Diptera; Chironomidae.
AAUUAAAUGGCUGAGUUCAGGCGAUAGAUUGUAAAUCUAUAAACGAAAAUUAAUUUUCUUUAAUUA